GCUGGCGGCGUGCCUAAUACAUGCAAGUCGAGCGGACCGNAANNNGGGCUUGCNCUUNUUNGGUCAGCGGCGGACGGGUGAGUAACACGUGGGCAACCUGCCCGCAAGACCGGGAUAACUCCGGGAAACCGGAGCUAAUACCGGAUAACACCGAAGACCGCAUGGUCUUCGGUUGAAAGGCGGCCUUUGGGCUGUCACUUGCGGAUGGGCCCGCGGCGCAUUAGCUAGUUGGUGAGGUAACGGCUCACCAAGGCGACGAUGCGUAGCCGGCCUGAGAGGGUGACCGGCCACACUGGGACUGAGACACGGCCCAGACUCCUACGGGAGGCAGCAGUAGGGAAUCUUCCGCAAUGGGCGAAAGCCUGACGGAGCGACGCCGCGUGAGCGAAGAAGGCCUUCGGGUCGUAAAGCUCUGUUGUGAGGGACGAAGGAGCGCCGUUCGAAGAGGGCGGCGCGGUGACGGUACCUCACGAGAAAGCCCCGGCUAACUAC
Molecule: ribosomal RNA, 492 nt
Filed under: [Bacillus] caldotenax
Lineage: Bacteria; Bacillati; Bacillota; Bacilli; Caryophanales; Anoxybacillaceae
Description: bacterial SSU rRNA
Rfam family: Bacterial small subunit ribosomal RNA
Source: RNAcentral